RNAcentral lists this small RNA (1017 nucleotides) under Pongo abelii (Sumatran orangutan). RNAcentral describes it as "processed transcript". The record is from RNAcentral. Lineage: Eukaryota; Metazoa; Chordata; Mammalia; Primates; Hominidae.
GGUCCUGUCUCCAGCGGGAGCGCGAGACGCUGGUCAGGCUCCGCGGCGCAGCUCGAAAAGGAAUAAUCGCCCCCGAUUGACUGAAAUUCCUCCGGAGCCGGCGCCGCGGCCGCCCGCGCCCGAGACCGCGCUCCGGGGCCGCGUCCUCCUCUCCUUCGGAAAACGCUCGCGACCCAGGGCCGCCGGCGGCCGCGACUCUGCUGUGUCGAUCGCCUGAGUCCGUUUUCACCGUUUGCGGGAUCUGGAACCGAGUUACAUGCAUGUCCAGUGGGGGCAGGUUUAAUUUUGACGACGGAGGGUCCUACUGUGGAGGCUGGGAGGACGGCAAGGCGCACGGCCAUGGCGUCUGCACCGGCCCCAAGGGCCAAGGCGAAUACACCGGCUCGUGGAGCCACGGCUUCGAGGUGCUGGGCGUCUACACCUGGCCCAGCGGCAACACGUACCAGGGCACCUGGGCGCAGGGCAAGCGCCACGGCAUCGGCCUGGAGAGCAAGGGGAAGUGGGUGUACAAGGGCGAGUGGACGCACGGAUUCAAGGGGCGCUACGGGGUGCGGGAGUGCGCGGGCAACGGGGCCAAAUACGAAGGGACCUGGAGCAACGGGCUGCAGGACGGCUACGGGACCGAGACCUACUCGGACGGAGAUGCCACCACAUUCGGGGCAGAGCCGGGGCCGGAAGCCAGGGAGCUGCCUGCUGCUGCUGCUGUUGCUGCUGCUGCUGUAAGAUGGUUUCUGUGCAGGGAGCCCUGGCCGGCUCUGCAGCUGCCCGCCUGCCGGACUCUCCGAUAUCCACUCCUCCGUGCACCUGACGCGCACGGAGCCGGUCCUUUCCUGGAAGCCAGACCCCAAACAAACUGGCUUCCCCGACCAGUCCACUCCCAUGUGGGAGCUCAUCCUCAGAGGCACUGGGUCGCCUGCCUCCCUCAGGCGCCUCGCCUGUUUCAGGCAUGGAUGCCUGGGAAGGGAGUGAGACGCAGCAAUGACUUGUGCUUCUGCCGGGAAUAAAAAUCCUGAGCGU